This 1161-nucleotide ribosomal RNA is filed under the name Triticum aestivum (bread wheat). Its description in RNAcentral is "partial small subunit ribosomal RNA". Lineage: Eukaryota; Viridiplantae; Streptophyta; Magnoliopsida; Poales; Poaceae. The record is from RNAcentral.
AUGACUCCCAUCCGAUCUGAUUUGCUCUCCCCUCCCAGUAGGGACUGGUCUGAUCUAGACGACGGGCCGGCCGGGCUGAUCGCCGAGCGCGUCCUCGCGUAUGACGUCGCCGACUAUCUCCGCUUCCGUGCCGUGUGCCGCGCAUGGCGGCAGUGCUGCACAGAACCGUGCUCCCACAGCGGGCUCGACCGCCGGUUCCAUCCCUGGCGGUGGGUCCUGCUCCACGACCCCCUCGCUGCUCCCAACCGUCGUAGCUUCCUCAACUCUUCCACUGGCGAGUGCAUUCAACUGGACAUCCCAGAGCUCGUUGACCAUGAGCUGCUGGGUGUCACCCCCGAGGGCCUCCCAGAGUAAAUUGCAACUCCACGACCAUAACCACGUCCGCUGCUCAACCCGCUCACGUGUCACCUCAUGAAGCUACCGCCGCUCACCACGCUGCUGCCCUCUAAGGACCAUGUCAUGCUUUCCUAUUUCGACAUAGACUACUUCUUAGCGACGGGCUCGGGCAUUGCUAGUGAUGAUUCAACAGUAGUGCUCUGUUUCAAUACGCUGCGCAUGCUUGGCAUUGCCAAGCCCGGCGACGACAACUGGAUGUUGCUGAAGUACAACCAUGAUGGGUUCACAAAAACGCCCUUAAUGUUUGCAGGGCGCUUCUACCUCGUUAACGCUCAUGGUGUCAUGGUGCUCCAAAUCGGUCCAAACCAGAAACCACGGCUGGAGGUGGUUGCCAAACUGAAUAUGUGUGUCUCGCCGAUUUCGCAAAAUAUGCAGCUCGUCAACAAUUGUGGUCAGCUGAUGCUGCUGCACCGUCUGAUUGUACCAUUAAAGUCGCGGAAUAAUUGGGGCGAUCGAUACGACAUGUAUCGAGUGAACUUGGAUAAGGGGACACUGUUCCGCGUCAAGAGCUUGGGCGAUGGUCGCGCAAGGCGUGCGAUGUUCUUGGGCUUGUAUUGCUCUUUCUCGGUAUCUCUAGAGGUUUUCCCCUCUGGCUCCAUUAGUGUUAACACCAUCUACCCGAGCUUUGACUUCGACAAAAGAAGGUUAUUAAAAGUUGGAGCAUACCAUCUCCCGUAUGGACGCAUCGAAAGACCAUGUAGGUUGGUGCUAGGGCCGCAUACUCUCGUUGACUAUAUAGCUUUGUCCAACAUGGUCCAUGGAUGA